AAGCUGGCCAGCCAGCCUGCGGAAGUAGCGCGAGCUCAAAGUAAACUAUUUGGGUUGUCAAGGGAACGGAAUUUAAUUCUCAACUGCCAGGGUCGGGGCUUGAUGAGCUCUGCUUUACAAAAUGGAUUGGUAAAAGUAUAAAUUUAAGCUGCUUUAAUGGUUCAAGGGCUUGACUGCUUGUUUUGCGAUAUACUACUCGUUAACGAGUACCAGAAUUCAUUUCCAGCCAGGACAUUGGAGUCACUCACUACCUGAACCGAGUUUGUUUACCGGUAUCUCACGUAGCUAGCAACAUUAGCUAAAGUUAAGAUAGCAAAACCGCAACAUUUCACAGAUGACAGAGACCUCAGUGGACCCACACAAGAGCUCAGGAACAGCGGAGAGCAGGGACUUCUCUCAUCACCUGGAAAGAAACUAGCUGACCAGAACCCAUAAGAAACAGCUAUAAAAGAGGUAUGCCUAUAAUUAGACACAUGUUAAGUGUAAGAUCCAUGAUCAGGUAGAGACACUUCAAACUAAUAUUUUCUACAACCUAUCCACAUCUGGCUGCACCCUUAGCAUUAAUACAAUUCCUGUAGGAACUGACACCCUGACAUGUUACUUCUGACAGCUAAUAACUUACUCCUGUUACAUCUGACUCAUUGUGGUAGAUUCAUCCUUGUCUCUGUAAUAGAUGCCAGCCAGCAGAUAUCUGUAUUCAACCUUAGCAAACCGUGGCAGUUAAAUUGUAGGUAUGAUGUGAUCAUUACAAAAAUAGUAUUCUCUCUCUCUGUGUGUGUGUGUGUGUGUGUGUGUGUGUGUGUGUGUGUGACUGUGAGUGAGAGUUUCCAGCUGUUCAUGCUACAGUGGCUGUGCUGUGGAUACUGUGCCAGGUGUCAACAUGCAUGGACCAGACCACUAAUACCAGGUGUUAAUGCCACAGUAGCUGAUACAGAUGCUAUGCCAAAUGCCAGCAUGGAUCUGCCGGAUCACUAACCGCAUGUAGGUGUCUACAUCAGAUUGGGGAGUUGGACACUGUGUAUGCCUGAUGUACAUCAGAAGGCUUUCCAGGCAGGCUGACCUGACCAAUUGUCGGCAUCUCUCUGCAUUCUUUGGAGCCCUUCUUCCUGGAGAAGACCACAAAGCUACUUGCAUUAACAUAAAUAAAUGUUUACUUUCAUUGUUGAAA
Engraulis encrasicolus (European anchovy) is the source of this 1168-nucleotide long non-coding RNA. RefSeq lists it as uncharacterized. NCBI's taxonomy places the organism in Eukaryota, Metazoa, Chordata, Actinopteri, Clupeiformes, Engraulidae. The transcript has 5 exons. The record is from RefSeq and is a predicted model, not a curated record.